CUGGAGAGCGGCGCCCGCCCGGACAGCGGCGCCCACCGAAGGGGCAACGCGGGCGCAGCCCGCGGAAACUCUCAGGUCACAGGACAG
Molecule: non-coding RNA, 87 nt
Filed under: Betaproteobacteria bacterium
Lineage: Bacteria; Pseudomonadati; Pseudomonadota; Betaproteobacteria
Description: Glycine sequence
Rfam family: Glycine riboswitch aptamer
About the family: This family represents the bacterial glycine riboswitch.
Source: RNAcentral